Molecule: unclassified non-coding RNA, 563 nt
Filed under: Fusarium annulatum
Lineage: Eukaryota; Fungi; Ascomycota; Sordariomycetes; Hypocreales; Nectriaceae
Description: sequence contains 18S rRNA gene, ITS1, 5.8S rRNA gene, ITS2, 28S rRNA gene
Rfam family: 5.8S ribosomal RNA (bases 192-345)
Source: RNAcentral
UCGUAACAAGGUCUCCGUUGGUGAACCAGCGGAGGGAUCAUUACCGAGUUUACAACUCCCAAACCCCUGUGAACAUACCAAUUGUUGCCUCGGCGGAUCAGCCCGCUCCCGGUAAAACGGGACGGCCCGCCAGAGGACCCCUAAACUCUGUUUCUAUAUGUAACUUCUGAGUAAAACCAUAAAUAAAUCAAAACUUUCAACAACGGAUCUCUUGGUUCUGGCAUCGAUGAAGAACGCAGCAAAAUGCGAUAAGUAAUGUGAAUUGCAGAAUUCAGUGAAUCAUCGAAUCUUUGAACGCACAUUGCGCCCGCCAGUAUUCUGGCGGGCAUGCCUGUUCGAGCGUCAUUUCAACCCUCAAGCCCUCGGGUUUGGUGUUGGGGAUCGGCGAGCCCUUGCGGCAAGCCGGCCCCGAAAUCUAGUGGCGGUCUCGCUGCAGCUUCCAUUGCGUAGUAGUAAAACCCUCGCAACUGGUACGCGGCGCGGCCAAGCCGUUAAACCCCCAACUUCUGAAUGUUGACCUCGGAUCAGGUAGGAAUACCCGCUGAACUUAAGCAUAUCAAUAA